This 4350-nucleotide long non-coding RNA is filed under the name Marmota monax (woodchuck). The record is from RNAcentral. Lineage: Eukaryota; Metazoa; Chordata; Mammalia; Rodentia; Sciuridae.
GCCAUCCUCCUGCCUCAACCUCCGGAGUCGCGGAGAUUACAGGCAUGCAACACUGUGUCCAGUGGAGGUAGGUACACACACACACACACACACACACACACUCACGUACCACACUUGGGCUGAAGAAACUAAUAUUUAAGGAGAUUGAUGAACUUGCUCAAAACCACUCUGCAAGGGCUGGAUUCCUACCUUAAUCCACCUGAUUUUAAAUUCCUUACUCAUUCCACUCCAAGCCGCUCAAUGCUACAAUGAACACUGGGCAGUAAGAAGCUCAGUGAUCUGCAUUUUGGAGUCACUGGAGCACUCUUCUCUAGCUGCUGGGCCCUUCAGGAACCUUCCAGAGGCCCAGGGCCUUGGACAUCAGUGAGGCUUUAAUACAGUAAACAAGCCCAGCUUCUUUUAUUAGUUGCCAACGCAUUCUUCAUCUUCUUUUCCCUCUGAGAGGACUAAACCCAUAGAUAAUGACAUCUGUUCCUCUCUGAAACUCCACGUGUACCCAUCGGAUAAUGGGGUUUUGCCGGUUACUUGUUUCUCCCAACCAAACUCCUCAAUCUGCUGUCCAGCUCAGCAGGCAACAGAAAGGACAUUUCAUCUAUCUUUUGCCCAGAAAUGAGUACGUGACUAAGGCGUGUCAUGGGUAUACAUGCUCACAUUUGAGAAUCACACCAGACAAUAACUUGAUAUAUCACAAGUGUUGAUUUACUCCCAGUCCCAGUGCAGGGAAAUAGAGUAUUUUAAUUAUGAAUUAAAAUGCCAACUUACAGUACUGUCAGGUCUUAAUUACCUGUGUUUAAGGACAAUGCAAAAAUAAAACAAAAAACAAACAAACAAACCCCUAAUUAGUUAAAAUUAAUGAUAAUUUAAUCCAGCCCAUAUUUUUACCUUCUCAGCCCACCAAAUCUUUUGCUGGAAAGACAUUUACAGACAACCAGUUCAUAGAUCAGGUCAUGAUAUGCAGUUGGAGUUUCUGUGGCAGUCACUUCUAAAGGACUUUAAUUCUUUUGAGUCUUGUCAUGAAACAGCUACAAUUUCCAGGUUAAUAACCAAAUGAUUACCAUCCUUCUUGGCCUAGUCCCUCCCCAAUCUGGCCCUGAGCUUCUUUUUCAAAAAAUGAGCUUUCCCUCAUUUCCUGAAGUCUCUCUCUGUGGACCUCAUGAAAUGACCUCCUGUGGGCGGCAUCCUGGCCAUGGAGAAAAACCUCACCCACCAAAGGAAAAAGCUUUGCCCACAGGGCCCCUGGGAGAUACCAUUUUCAUCUUCUAUUGCACUGUGCUGACAUUUUUAAAUUAUAAUGACUCCAUAUCCCAAAUGAGCCCUAAGAACAUUCUGAAUCAGCUAAUUAAUAAAUCAAUUGCUCUUCAGGAUGGCAUUUAUCAAAUUCACAACUAAUAUGUGGGGUGAGGUUAGAGUGGAAUUCUGCAGCUCCUGCGCACUGGCUCUAGUAUGGCCCAUUUGUAUAGGAACCAGUCUCUUCCAAGACCUUCCACAGACUCUGGCUGUGAGCUGAGCGCCUGCAAGUGUGUACUGUACUCUGAGCCCCCUGGGGCACGCCUGCCUCAUCAGAGCAACAUCUGAUGGAAUAGUGAAUAGUUGCUAAGUCUGAAGAACAAAACACCCUUCCUACCCUUCCUAAUCACUCCGUGUUCCAUAUGCUGGUGGUAACGGAAACAUCCUUUUGGUCACAAGGUUGAACUACGAUUAAAACCAAUUAGAUGCAAUCAUUUAGAUGUCGGUGGCUUCUGGUAUCUUUGCCUUGUUCAUUAGCAUAGGGAUGAUAAAGGUUGACAAUACCAAGCUGAUCAGCCUUCUUUGCAAAAAGUAGACCACUGGUGAACUUGAGAAUUCCUUAAAACCUCCUCGACUUUCUACACCUUUCAGAAUCGCUGCCGACACACAUCAGUUGUGACAAUUAGGCAGUCAGAGCAGAGUGCACUGCUUUUCCUUGCCGACUUAGUGCCUCCUCCUUGGUCAUGACUGUCCCCUCACUGCCGCAGCCACCUUGCUCCUCACGGGCUACUGAGGUCCUGGAGUGGCCAAGAAGAGGAAUGAUGGGAAGAUGGUUCAAAGGUGCCAUCCGUCCAUAGGACGAUGAAGGUGGACUAGACCACACUAGAGAGGUUGGGGACUUGGUGAGUGGAGAGUCUGAGAGCCCCUGUUCAGAGGCCAAAAGUCUGCCACUGAUGGAGUCCUUUUCUGGCUUGCACUAUUCACCCUCUUUUCCUUCUUUUUUAUCAUCAAUGUGGUUUUUCUCCUGGAGAGGUUAUGUAUUUAUUUAUUUAUUUUAAGAUAAUGGGCCUUGACUUUGCCGUCAAAUAGUUACUCAAGCCUAAUGGCUUCGCAAAUUACAUAGGGAGAAUCUAAGCUUGAGGGUAGAUAUCAGGGCUAGGGUGUCAUGGGCGGGGAAUCAGAAAUGGCCCUCUGUCCUACAGAGAGGACACACCAAAGAAGCAAGAAGAUGGAGUGACGGAGAAUGAAUGGGGAGCAGGCAGGGAAGGAAUUAGACAUGGGGCUGUUUUAGAUGGAGCACACCCAGGGGGGUGCACCGACAGAGAGAGGGGUGAAGGCGUGUGAGUUAAGAAUGGAAACAGAAACCGUCUUUACUCAAGUUCAGGGUGUUUGAAUCAGGCCCAAAUUGACAAAGAUAUCCAGGUAGAAACUGAAAUUAGAGAAAUUAAAUAAGAAAAUGAUAUUUGGCUGAAUAAAUACAUCUCUGAACAGAUGCCAGAAAGCUUCAAGGCUGCCCAUUUUCUUUCCAUGACUGUACGGAGAUUGCACAGGAGUGAGUGGUAUCGGGAGUUCGGCUGGCUUGAGACCAAAGCAAAGCAGGAAGCUACUUGAAAUAAAAUUUUACUCAUCUCGAUGUUUUUGGACUUGAAACAGACGUUUACCUUAUCUGAACUAAAGCAUUUCACAGGAUGUGAUUUCCUAUUUUCUCUUUUGUGGUCCCAUUUAUAAAUCUAUGGUGAGCGGUUUAAAAUGGUUUUUUUGGUACCACCAUCUCCUUCUGCCCAAUAUUAUGAUAAUUCUGAAAUACAAACUGAAUAAAUACCUAGGUAGGUCAUUUUCAAAAUGAUUCGUAUUUGCUUAGCAGAUUGAAUCUGUGCAGUAGUAAAAUUACAGUUGGUCAAGUCAAUCUUGAGUCAGAGUAAGGUUUACCAGGGUAAUGUUGCUCUUUAACCCCUUAGUCUAAUGUGGUUUUAGGAGUGGGGGGAAAUCUCAACAUCUGUAUCAACAGAGGAUCCACAGAGUUUGAAAUGCUCCAAGCAGACUUUCCUCACAGUUAUUUAUGACAGUUUGACAGUGAUAGAAAAAUCUGGAAUGCCUUCUCCUCAACUUUGCAGAUGCCUAUUUCUGCAAGCCCGAUUGAUCAUUCUGUGCCUUAGUUUCCCUUUCUGCACAUUGCCUGGAGCCUUGUCGACUAAACUGUGGAUUAUAACAAGCUCAAGGCUGCACCUGAUUUUUAGUUUACUAGCCAGACUCCAGGCACAAACUAAGCAUUUGUGUCUGUAAGGGAAAGAGUUUAAGAAAGAAAUGAUCUACUGAUAGUUUCAAUAUUAUUGUAUAUUUAAAGAUGUAUUUUAAAAUAGUCAUCGGUUUAUGACUUCUGAUGACGAAUGGAGCUUUUCUGUAAAAGUCUUUUUACAGUCUUUACACAAAGCUCCAGGUGAACGUUUGCUUCUGGCCGUCUGUAUACUUCCAAAUACCUACUUCGUGGCUUUCUCAGGAUGUCCUGUGAUUUAGGACAAUAAGGUGAUCCAUUUUGAUAUUUUGGAGGGAGAUGGUGUGAGGCUACGGGUCCAAGUCACACUGAGCUCUUUGAUAAUAAGCAUGAAGGCAGGGGCAGGGGGACCCCCAACAGUAUAAUGAAACUGGAUGGAUCUGCUUUUUCUCACAUCACUCAAUAAGAUUUUCACAGUUCGCACUUAGGAUUUUCUGAAUCUAUGAAAAGGCAGGCCAGGGACAGGAUAAUGGGACAGGGCUGAGUGUGACAUGGAUCAGUAGCCUCACAGAGAAAGCCCACAGUUUCCCUUCAAAAUGUCAAAAUGAAUCACUUGGAUUUUCUAAAUUGCAGGAUAUCCUGAUGAAGGCGGGCAAUGGUUAUUUGAAGCACGGGGGUGCAGACCAGGAGCAAACACGUUUAUAUGGAACUAUUUUUUAAAGAUGAAAUUAUUUCAUAGAUGAACUUGCAAAUGGUACCCAGCAUGCUACUGGACAAAACUUUCUUCCUCUCUCCCUCCCUCUCUCCCUCCUUUCCUGUUUACCUCCUUCCUUCCCACCCUCUUUCCUCCAUUAUUCUGAUCCCUCUUUCCUUCAUUAUUCUGAUUGUACAAAAUUACAACAUUAAAAAAA